UACGGAAGGCAGCAGUGGGGAAUAUUGCACAAUGGGUGAAAGCCUGAUGCAGCUAUGCCGCGUGUAUGAAGAAGGCCUUAGGGUUGUAAAGUACUUUCAUCGGGGAGGAAAAACAAAACUAAUAAUUUUAUUUCUUGACGUUACCCGAAAAAGAAGCACCGGCUAACUCCGUGCCAGCAGCCGCGGUAAUACGGAGGGUGCUAGCGUUAAUCAGAAUUACUGGGCGUAAAGAGCACGUAGGUGGUUUUUUUAAGUCAGAUGUGAAAUCCCUGGGCUUAACCUAGGAACUGCAUUUUGAAACUGAAAUACUAGAGUAUCGUAGAGGGAGGUAGAAUUCUAGGUGUAGCGGUGAAAUGCGUAGAUAUCUGGAGGAAUACCUGUGGCGAAAGCGGCCUCCUAAACGAAUACUGACACUGAGGGUGCGGGAAGCGUGGGGAGCAAACAGGGAUUAGAUACC
RNAcentral lists this ribosomal RNA (457 nucleotides) under uncultured bacterium. Its description in RNAcentral is "bacterial SSU rRNA". It matches the Rfam family "Bacterial small subunit ribosomal RNA", at positions 340 to 786 of the family's 1533-position model. The record is from RNAcentral.